GUGGGGAAUAUUGGGCAAUGGGCGCAAGCCUGACCCAGCAACGCCGCGUGAAGGAAGAAGGCUUUCGGGUUGUAAACUUCUUUUACCAGGGACGAAACAAAUGACGGUACCUGGUGAAUAAGCCACGGCUAACUACGUGCCAGCAGCCGCGGUAAUACGUAGGUAGCGAGCGUUAUCCGGAUUUAUUGGGUGUAAAGGGCGUGUAGGCGGGACAGCAAGUCAGAUGUGAAAACCAGAGGCUCAACCUCUGGCCUGCAUUUGAAACUGUUGUUCUUGAGUGUCGGAGAGGUAAUCGGAAUUCCGUGUGUAGCGGUGAAAUGCGUAGAUAUACGGAGGAACACCAGUGGCGAAGGCGGAUUACUGGACGAUAACUGACGCUGAGGCGCGAAAGCGUGGGGAGCAAACAGGAUUAGAAACCCUGGUAGUCC
This 428-nucleotide ribosomal RNA is filed under the name uncultured bacterium. RNAcentral's name for it is "partial 16S ribosomal RNA". It matches the Rfam family "Bacterial small subunit ribosomal RNA", at positions 354 to 796 of the family's 1533-position model. The record is from RNAcentral.